CCUACUGGAGGCUGCAGUAGGGAAUCUUCCGCAAUGGACGAAAGUCUGACGGAGCAACGCCGCGUGAGCGAAGAGGUUUUUGGGACGGAAAGCUCUGUUGUUUGGGAAGAACAAGGACGGGGGGAAAUGACCGUACCUUUACGGUACCUGACGGGGAAACCACGGCUAACUUCGUGCCAGCAGCCGGGGUAAUACGGAGGUGGCAAGCGUUGUCCGGAAUUAUUGGGCGUAAAGGGCGCGCAGGCGGUCUUUUAAGUCUGAUGUGAAAUCUUGCGGCUCAACCGCAAGCGGUCAUUGGAAACUGGGAGACUUGAGUGCAGAAGAGGAAAGCGGAAUUCCACGUGUAGCGGUGAAAUGCGUAGAGAUGUGGAGGAACACCAGUGGCGAAGGCGGCUUUCUGGUCUGUAACUGACGCUGAGGCGCGAAAGCGUGGGGAGCAAACAGGAUUAGAUACCCCAGUAGUC
This 464-nucleotide ribosomal RNA is filed under the name uncultured bacterium. Its description in RNAcentral is "bacterial SSU rRNA". It matches the Rfam family "Bacterial small subunit ribosomal RNA", at positions 338 to 795 of the family's 1533-position model. The record is from RNAcentral.